UACGGAGGGGGCGAGCGUUGUCCGAAGUUACUGGGCGUAAAGCGCGCGUAGGCGGGUUGGCAAGUCCGCUGUGAAAGCCUGCGGCUUAACCGCAGAGGGUCGGUGGAGACUGCCAAUCUUGAAGGUGCUAGGGAGAGAUGGAAUUACCGGUGUAGCGGUGAAAUGCGUAGAGAUCGGUAGGAACACCAGUGGCGAAGGCGGUCACCUGGGGUUGUUCUGACGCUGAGGAGCGAAAGCUAGGGGAGCAAACGGG
Molecule: ribosomal RNA, 253 nt
Filed under: uncultured prokaryote
Description: partial 16S ribosomal RNA
Rfam family: Bacterial small subunit ribosomal RNA
Source: RNAcentral